CAGUAGCGCGGUAAUACGAAGGGUGCAAGCGUUAAUCGGAAUUACUGGGCGUAAAGCGUGCGUAGGCGGUGAGUUAAGUCUGCUGUGAAAUCCCCGGGCUCAACCUGGGAAUGGCAGUGGAUACUGGCUCGCUAGAGUGUGUCAGAGGAUGGUGGAAUUCCCGGUGUAGCGGUGAAAUGCGUAGAGAUCGGGAGGAACAUCAGUGGCGAAGGCGGCCAUCUGGGACAACACUGACGCUGAGGCACGAAAGCGUGGGGAGCAAACAGGAUUAGAUACCCCGGUAGUCCCUGUCUCUUAUACA
RNAcentral lists this ribosomal RNA (301 nucleotides) under uncultured bacterium. Its description in RNAcentral is "partial 16S ribosomal RNA". It matches the Rfam family "Bacterial small subunit ribosomal RNA", at positions 509 to 808 of the family's 1533-position model. The record is from RNAcentral.